AACAACUUUUGGCAACGGAUCUCUUGGUUCUCCCAUCGAUGAAGAACGCAGCGAAACGCGAUAGGUAAUGUGAAUUGCAGAAUGUGAAUCAUCGAAUCUUUGAACGCACCUUGCGCUCUCCUGGACUUACAUCCGGAGAGCAUGCCUGUCUGAGGGCCGCGAAUUUC
This 167-nucleotide ribosomal RNA is filed under the name Farysia itapuensis. RNAcentral's name for it is "5.8S ribosomal RNA". It matches the Rfam family "5.8S ribosomal RNA". From Rfam's summary of the family: 5.8S ribosomal RNA (5.8S rRNA) is a component of the large subunit of the eukaryotic ribosome. It is transcribed by RNA polymerase I as part of the 45S precursor that also contains 18S and 28S rRNA. Functionally, it is thought that 5.8S rRNA may be involved in ribosome translocation. RNAcentral also lists the same sequence under 1 other name. The record is from RNAcentral. Lineage: Eukaryota; Fungi; Basidiomycota; Ustilaginomycetes; Ustilaginales; Ustilaginaceae.